GCUUAACGGUCCACCACUACCCUAAGAAGCGCUCGAUCUCGUCUGAUCUGCGGACCCCGCCUAAGCAGGGUUUGUCCUGAUUAGUACUUCUGGAUGGGAGACCAACCUGGGAAUACCAGGUGCUGUAAGCU
RNAcentral lists this ribosomal RNA (131 nucleotides) under Astyanax mexicanus (Mexican tetra). Lineage: Eukaryota; Metazoa; Chordata; Actinopteri; Characiformes; Acestrorhamphidae. The record is from RNAcentral.